GACGAACGCUGGCGGCGUGCCUAAUACAUGCAAGUAGAACGCUGAAGGAGGAGCUUGCUUCUCUGGAUGAGUUGCGAACGGGUGAGUAACGCGUAGGUAACCUGCCUGGUAGCGGGGGAUAACUAUUGGAAACGAUAGCUAAUACCGCAUAAGAGUAGAUGCUGCAUGACAUUUGCUUAAAAGGUGCAAUUGCAUCACUACCAGAUGGACCUGCGUUGUAUUAGCUAGUUGGUGGGGUAACGGCUUACGAAGGCGGCGAUACAUAGCCGACCUGAGAGGGUGAUCGGCCACACUGGGACGGAGACACGGCCCAGACGCCUACGGGAGGAAGCAGUAGGGAUUCUUCGGCAAGGGGCGGAAGUCUGACCGAGAAACGCCGCGUGAGUGAAGAAGGUUGUCGGAUCGUAAAGGUCUGUUGUAAGAGAAGAACGAGUGUGAGAGUGGAAAGUUCACACUGUGACGGUAUCUGACCAGAAAGGGACGGCUAACUACGUG
This 495-nucleotide ribosomal RNA is filed under the name uncultured bacterium. Its description in RNAcentral is "partial 16S ribosomal RNA". It matches the Rfam family "Bacterial small subunit ribosomal RNA", at positions 28 to 507 of the family's 1533-position model. The record is from RNAcentral.